ACGCAGGCGGUUUGUUAAGUCAGAUGUGAAAUCCCCGGGCUCAACCUGGGAACUGCAUCUGAUACUGGCAAGCUUGAGUCUCGUAGAGGGGGGUAGAAUUCCAGGUGUAGCGGUGAAAUGCGUAGAGAUCUGGAGGAAUACCGGUGGCGAAGGCGGCCCCCUGGACGAAGACUGACGCUCAGGUGCGAAAGCGUGGGGAGCAAACAGGAUUAGAUACCCUGGUAGUCCACGCCGUAAACGAUGUCGACUUGGAGGUUGUGCCCUUGAGGCGUGGCUUCCGGAGCUAACGCGUUAAGUCGACCGCCUGGGGAGUACGGCCGCAAGGUUAAAACUCAAAUGAAUUGACGGGGGCCCGCACAAGCGGUGGAGCAUGUGGUUUAAUUCGAUGCAACGCGAAGAACCUUACCUGGUCUUGACAUCCACGGAAGUUUUCAGAGAUGAGAAUGUGCCUUCGGGAACCGUGAGACAGGUGCUGCAUGGCUGUCGUCAGCUCGUGUUGUGAAAUGUUGGGUUAAGUCCCGCAACGAGCGCAACCC
RNAcentral lists this ribosomal RNA (536 nucleotides) under Escherichia coli. RNAcentral's name for it is "bacterial SSU rRNA". It matches the Rfam family "Bacterial small subunit ribosomal RNA", at positions 569 to 1104 of the family's 1533-position model. Lineage: Bacteria; Pseudomonadati; Pseudomonadota; Gammaproteobacteria; Enterobacterales; Enterobacteriaceae. The record is from RNAcentral.